RNAcentral lists this ribosomal RNA (253 nucleotides) under uncultured bacterium. RNAcentral's name for it is "partial 16S ribosomal RNA". It matches the Rfam family "Bacterial small subunit ribosomal RNA", at positions 524 to 776 of the family's 1533-position model. The record is from RNAcentral.
UACGUAGGGGGCUAGCGUUGUCCGGAAUCAUUGGGCGUAAAGAGCGUGUAGGCGGCCCGAUAAGUCCGCUGUGAAAGUCCAGGGCUCAACCCUGGAAUGCCAGUGGAAACUGUCGGGCUAGAGUCCGGAAGAGGCGAGUGGAAUUCCUGGUGUAGCGGUGAAAUGCGCAGAUAUCAGGAGGAACACCAAUGGCGAAGGCAGCUCGCUGGGACGGUACUGACGCUGAGACGCGAAAGCGUGGGGAGCAAACAGG